GACGUAGGGUCCAAGCGUUGUCCGGAUUUACUGGGCGUAAAGAGCGCGCAGGCGGUCGAUCAAGUCGAGUGUGAAAGCCCCCGGCUCACCUGGGGAGGGUCAUUCGAAACUGGUCGACUCGAAGGCAGGAGAGGGUAGUGGAAUUCCCGGUGUAGUGGUGAAAUGCGUAGAUAUCGGGAGGAACACCAGUGGCGAAGGCGACUACCUGGCCUGUUCUUGACGCUGAGGCGCGAAAGCUAGGGGAGCAAACGGG
RNAcentral lists this ribosomal RNA (253 nucleotides) under uncultured bacterium. RNAcentral describes it as "partial 16S ribosomal RNA". It matches the Rfam family "Bacterial small subunit ribosomal RNA", at positions 524 to 776 of the family's 1533-position model. The record is from RNAcentral.